This is a long non-coding RNA of Solenopsis invicta (red fire ant), 317 nucleotides long. RefSeq lists it as uncharacterized. Lineage: Eukaryota; Metazoa; Arthropoda; Insecta; Hymenoptera; Formicidae. The record is from RefSeq and is a predicted model, not a curated record. The transcript has 2 exons.
AGAACGAAUUCACGCAUAUCAGAGCCUUCCGUUCUUGACCCUGUUAUUUCAGCAGCUACAGCUUGUUUCCAAGUUGCAGAAAGUUCUCUUGCUAAAACAAGUGUUACAUGAUUACUUUCACCGCUUGCAGUUGAAGGUACUCCAAUAGUAUGUGAAUUUGAUGAACUACUCACUUCAAGAAGAGUGGAUCUAAAAAAUAAAAAAUAAAUUUAAUAAAAUUCAUAUUUUAUAGAACAAAAUUAUUUAAAGUAUUAAAUUAGUACUACCGAUGAAAACGAUAAAAAAUACAAAAGUAGAUAUGAACUUUUAGAAGUAAC